AAAUGAUAAGAUUAAUUUGUAAUAUUUCAUAGAUAAAACACACCAAAAGAAAAACACUUCAUUUAUUUGAAGUGAUCAAACAGAAGCCAACACAACCACAAGACACGAGAGACCAUGGGUGAACUACUCAUGGCCAAUUAUUUAACUGAGGGCAUCAGACCCUUGAUCCUCCUCUCCGUCGGGAGCUCACUUGCCGCACUUGCAGGGGUUGCAGUUGCAG
Molecule: unclassified non-coding RNA, 220 nt
Filed under: Hevea brasiliensis (rubber tree)
Lineage: Eukaryota; Viridiplantae; Streptophyta; Magnoliopsida; Malpighiales; Euphorbiaceae
Source: RNAcentral